UUGGACUUUUGAAGACAAGCAUAGAGAGUUUUGGUCACUUACUUUCUCUCUAUUCUCUACCAUUUUCUCCUUACCCAAACACCAUUCAUGCCACUUCCUAUCCUCUCAAGUUUUGUUCUAAGUAUUUGCAAAGACUAGGAUCAUCUUCCUUCAAGGGAAGCCACGAGAAUGGUAGAAGUUGUAAUAGGAUCACAAGAGGAAAUCCAUAGGGAAGUGCAAGAGACUAGCUCCCUAGAUACCUAGGGAGACUCCAAAGAGACAUGAGAGCUCUUCGGAGCCAUCCAUUUUGGAGAGGUUGGAAGUCGCCGACCGGUUUAUCACUAAAGUACUAUAGCUCUUUGAGGAGCUAAGAGGGAUUCUAAACCAGGACAAGGCCAAGUAAGAUUGGCCUUGCUAGAAGACAUUUUGAUGAGGGACCACUAAGAUCAUCAAAUAUAUAAUGUUUUGAUGAUAGUAAAAUAAUUGGUCCCAUGUUUUUUGUAGUCUUUGAAACAAUUAUGUAUUUUGAAAGAUUUUAUGAAAUCUGAUAUUUUGGUA
Molecule: long non-coding RNA, 537 nt
Organism: Carya illinoinensis
Lineage: Eukaryota; Viridiplantae; Streptophyta; Magnoliopsida; Fagales; Juglandaceae
Exons: 2
Source: RefSeq, a predicted model, not a curated record